Molecule: non-coding RNA, 24 nt
Filed under: Arabidopsis thaliana (thale cress)
Lineage: Eukaryota; Viridiplantae; Streptophyta; Magnoliopsida; Brassicales; Brassicaceae
Source: RNAcentral
AGAAAAAGUGCCCUCUCCCUCAUA